UGGUCAUUACCAAGGCUUUUAGAAUGCAGUUUCUCAUUUGCUGUGGACAUGACCACAAAACAUUUCCCCAAUAGGUUUUUUUUUUCUGCUAUGUUGGUAGCAUAGCAUUCAGCCUACUGGGAACAUUU
This is a non-coding RNA of Myotis lucifugus (little brown bat), 128 nucleotides long. The record is from Rfam. Lineage: Eukaryota; Metazoa; Chordata; Mammalia; Chiroptera; Vespertilionidae.